RNAcentral lists this long non-coding RNA (201 nucleotides) under Capsicum annuum. RNAcentral describes it as "long non-coding RNA (CANN_LNC006927)". Lineage: Eukaryota; Viridiplantae; Streptophyta; Magnoliopsida; Solanales; Solanaceae. The record is from RNAcentral.
AUCAUAAUAUCAUCAUCAUAACCACCACCAUCAUAACCAUCAUUAUCAUAAUCAUCUUUCGAUCUUGUCGGGUAUAUAUAUAAUUGCCAAACACAGGGCUAGCCAAACUUGAACCAGUACAUGUACACAUAGGCAUAUCAAUUUAAUCAUUCUCUGCCCUGGCUGGGUAUAUCAUCACAAUCAUUCUCCAACCUUGUCGGG